This 1321-nucleotide ribosomal RNA is filed under the name Charybdis feriata. RNAcentral describes it as "16S ribosomal RNA". The stretch from base 626 to 1321 matches the Rfam family "Archaeal large subunit ribosomal RNA", at positions 1423 to 2816 of the family's 2987-position model. Lineage: Eukaryota; Metazoa; Arthropoda; Malacostraca; Decapoda; Portunidae. The record is from RNAcentral.
AUUUUAACAUAUCGUUAUUCUAUAAUAUAAUUAAGUUUUUAAAAAUUAAUAUAAGAAAUAUAAAAGUAUUUAUUAAUGAAAUUUUAGAAAGACUAUAGCUAAUAAGUACUGAAUAGGAAGUAGUAUAAUAUAAUUUAAAAUUUAUAAGUAAAUGUCGAUUAUUGUACCUUGUGUAUCAGGGAUAAUCAAAUUAUUACAAACAUGUUUGUAUUUCUCGAACUAAGGAUAGCUAAUAUUUUAAACUAGUUUUUGUAAUAUAAAAAUUUGUAAUUUAAUAUUAAAGAUGAAAUGUCAUACGAGCCUUAUAUUAUCUAGUUCUCUAAGAAUAAAAUAUAAUUUGACUAUCAGAUUUAAUUAAUCUAAUAGUAAAGGGUAGGAGGGAUUAGCUUCUUAUCACUAAAAAUAUUAAAUAAUAGAGAUGAAAUAGAAUGUAACUUUUCUAGGCUUAAAAGUAGCCAUGGUGAUAAAGUGUUUUAAUUUAGGUUUACAAUUAAAUUAAUUUAUCGAAUCUUUAUAAAGUAUUAGGGUAUUAAUCAAAAUAGGAAAAAUUAAGAAACAAUGAUUAUAUUAGUAAAGCAUAAUUUAUAAAAGGGUAAGAAAUAAAAUAAGAAUAAAAAAUUAUAAAAGAUAUUUGAAAUAAAAAAGGAAUUCGGCAAAAAAUUGUUCUUGCCUGUUUAUCAAAAACAUGGCUAUUAUGGGGUUAUUUAUAGUCUAGCCUGCUCACUGAUAGAAAUUAUUAAAUAGCCGCGGUAUCUUGACCGUGCAAAGGUAGCAUAAUCAUUAGUUUUUUAAUUGAAAACUUGUAUGAAUGGUUGGACAAAGAACAAACUGUCUCUUUUGUUUUUAUUGAAUUUAACUUUUAAGUGAAAAGGCUUAAAUAUUCUAGAGGGACGAUAAGACCCUAUAAAGCUUUAUAAAUUUAAAAAUCUUAUAUAUUUUUAUAUAAAAAUAAUUUUUGAGGAGUUUAUUUGGUUGGGGCGACAGUGGUAUAAGUAAUGUAACUGCUAUAGUGUUUAACAAAAAUAUUUGUUUAGUGUAAGUAAUUGAUCCUUUAUAAGGAUUUUAAGAUCAAGUUACUUUAGGGAUAACAGCGUUAUUUUUUCUGAGAGUUCUUAUCAAAGAAAAAGUUUGCGACCUCGAUGUUGAAUUAAAAUGUCUUUAUAGUGCAGCAGCUAUAAAAGAAGGUCUGUUCGACCUUUAAUAUUUUACAUGAUUUGAGUUCAGACCGGCGGGAGCCAGGUCGGUUUCUAUCUUCUAGAGAUAGUGAGAGUAUCUUAGUACGAAAGGAUUGGGUAGUCAAAAAUUUUUUUUAAAAUGAAGU